CCAGCAGUCCUGAGAGGAGCCACAGACCCUCUGAAGGAAGUGGACUGCUCCUGCAGGACCCGGGAGACCCCCGCAAAAGUCUGAAUGCAACAGCUCCUGGUUUCCUGCUCUGUGAGGAAUGGCUGGACCACAUCUCCUGCUGGUGACAAGUGUCAGAAGUAUUGAUUCUGCAACAAACUGAGAAGAAACCUGGCGAUUCACCACAGAUAGCUGAGAAACCCUAAGUCUGGAUUCCAGCUAAAUGGGAGCAGACUAAAUAGAGCGGCAGUCGGCGAAAUACAUGUAACCCAUGAACAAAAUCCGGUCCAGCACCUGUGUUUUUUUUAUGGCCCACAAAUGAGUCUGUCUUUACAGAUGAAUGUUAAAACUGGUUUGACGAGAGAGGACACUCACUUUGAACCCCAACUAAGCAAAAUAUUAUCACCUUUCCCCUCAAAAAAGUUUUUGUUCUUCUCAUUAGUAAAUUUGUAUUUGUAUUAUGACAAAA
This 487-nucleotide long non-coding RNA is filed under the name Pongo abelii (Sumatran orangutan). RNAcentral's name for it is "lincRNA". Lineage: Eukaryota; Metazoa; Chordata; Mammalia; Primates; Hominidae. The record is from RNAcentral.